RNAcentral lists this ribosomal RNA (466 nucleotides) under uncultured bacterium. RNAcentral's name for it is "partial 16S ribosomal RNA". It matches the Rfam family "Bacterial small subunit ribosomal RNA", at positions 28 to 507 of the family's 1533-position model. The record is from RNAcentral.
GACGAACGCUGGCGGCGUGCUUAACACAUGCAAGUCGAACGGAAAGGCCCUGCUUGCAGGGUACUCGAGUGGCGAACGGGUGAGUAACACGUGGGUGAUCUGCCCUGCACUUCGGGGUAAGCUUGGGAAACUGGGUCUAAUACCGGAUAGGAGCCAUCUUUAGUGUGGUGGUUGGAAAGUUUUUUCGGUGUAGGAUGAGCUCGCGGCCUAUCAGCUUGUUGGUGGGGUAAUGGCCUACCAAGGCGGCGACGGGUAGCCGGCCUGAGAGGGUGUACGGCCACACUGGGACUGAGAGACGGCCCAGACUCCUACGGGAGGCAGCAGUGGGGAAUAUUGCACAAUGGGCGCAAGCCUGAUGCAGCGACGCCGCGUGGGGGAUGAAGGCCUUCGGGUUGUAAACUCCUUUCGCUAGGGACGAAGCUUUUUUGUGACGGUACCUAGAUAAGAAGCACCGGCUAACUACGUG